GGAGAGGUGGCUCAGUGGUUAAGAGCACUGACUGUUCUUCCAGAGGUCCUGAGUUCAAUUCCCAGCAACCACA
Molecule: transfer RNA, 73 nt
Filed under: Mus musculus (house mouse)
Lineage: Eukaryota; Metazoa; Chordata; Mammalia; Rodentia; Muridae
Description: tRNA-Asn
Source: RNAcentral